This 325-nucleotide unclassified non-coding RNA is filed under the name Hevea brasiliensis (rubber tree). Lineage: Eukaryota; Viridiplantae; Streptophyta; Magnoliopsida; Malpighiales; Euphorbiaceae. The record is from RNAcentral.
AUUCUUGUCUGGUUGCGCUAUACUUGCUCCACAGGUCGCGACCCGGUUUGCCCGGCAUAGCUCUUUCGUGAACUUGGCCGUCUCAUCUGGUCGCCAUUUCUGCGCACGAAGGCGAUUGAACGUCGCUUGAAAAAGACGCCCAAUCUCGCCGGUGCGAACGCAUGGGAGAUUGCGGCCAUGGCCACACCGUAUUCAGACAACAUUCCACAAGUUGUACCAGACGCGUCUUCCGGCGCUGCCGUCCCUGUCGUUCGCGACNUGUCGUUCGCAACAUCGGGACCUCCGAUCUGCGUGAGGCCUUGCGGCUGGGCUGGGAGGACUUCAA